This is an RNA transcript of Myotis lucifugus (little brown bat), 1340 nucleotides long. It is a transcript of the gene named acyl-CoA binding domain containing 6, with no coding region annotated. The record is from RefSeq and is a predicted model, not a curated record. NCBI's taxonomy places the organism in Eukaryota, Metazoa, Chordata, Mammalia, Chiroptera, Vespertilionidae. The transcript is spliced from 9 exons.
CCCCCGCCGCACGCCGCCUCCACUUCAGGACCGGCCGGCUGCGCUGCUCCCGGGCCCCCGUGCGGCUGGAGGGGCCCCAGCCGCCCCAGCCCACAGUUAGUCCCGGGAAGCGGGAGGAGACGGGGUCUGCAGGGGAGAGCUUCCUGAGAGUGGCGGAACCUGCCCCGAACGCCCCGGGAGAGAAGGGGAAGGAGGCAGAGUGAGGGGCGGGAGCGCGGAGGAAGUGAGCUGGGGUCCGACGCCAGCGCGGGCUCCGGACGCGGACUGGGCGGCCAGGCCCCCCGAGCCGGGCGUGACUCCCGACCGAGAGAGGACCGAGCGGACACAUGGCCUCUCCAUUCCUGUCCGCGGGGACCACCACGGGCGACAGCGGCGGAGAGCUGAGCUCGGGGGACGACUCCGGUGACGUGGAGUCCGUCCCGAGCCCCGAGAGCGGGGCGUCGCGGAGCCUGGCCGAGCUGUUUGAGGAGGCGGCCGCGCACCUGCAGAGCGUGGUUCACGUGGCCAGCAGGGAGCAGCUCCUGUACCUGUACGCCAGGUACAAGCAGGUCAAAGUUGGAAAUUGCAAUACUCCGAAACCAGGCUUCUUUGAUUUUGAAGGAAAGCAAAAAUGGGAAGCAUGGAAAGCACUUGGUGAUUCCAGCCCGAGCCAAGCAAUGCAGGAGUAUAUUGCAGCAGUUAAAAAAUUAGAUCCAGGUUGGAAUACUCAGUCACCAGAGAAGAAAGGAAAAGAAGCAAAUACUGGUUUUGGCGGACCAGUUGUUAGUUCUCUGUAUCAUGAAGAAAUCAUCAGGGAAGAAGACAAAAACAUAUUUGAUUACUGCAGAGAAAACAACAUUGACCAUAUAUCCAAAGUCAUCAAAUCAAAAAAUGUGGAUGUGAAUAUGAAAGAUGAAGAGGGCAGAGCUCUACUCCAUUGGGCAUGUGAUCGAGGACAUAAGGAACUAGUCACAGUCUUGCUACAAUACAGAGCUGAUAUUAACUCUCAGAUAACACACAGACUACCAUAGGAAUAAAAUCAGCAGUACAAAUGACAAUGAAGGUCAAACAGCUCUACAUUAUGCUGCUGCCUGUGAGUUUCUGGACAUCGUGGAGCUGCUGCUCCAGUCUGGCGCGGACCCCACUCUGCGAGACCAGGAUGGCUGCCUGCCGGAAGAGGUGACAGGUUGCAAAGCUGUGUCUCUGGUGUUGCAGCAGCACAUGGCUGGCAAGGCUUAAGCAGAGACUGGAAAGCUACAGUCUAACAGCAUAGGGCUUCAGUGAUGCAAGAAAACCAUACUUCUUUUACCACCCAUCUUUGGUGUACAUUGGCUAAUAAAAUCAGUUCUGAGGAACGGGGA